GCCAGGUGUGGUGGCGGGCGCCUGUAGUCCCAGCUACUCGGGAGGCUGAGGCAGGAGAAUGGCGUGAACCUGGGAGGUGGAACUUGCAGUGAACCAAGAUCGUGCCACUGCACUCCAGCCUGGGCUACAGAGCGAGACUCCGUCUCAAAAAAAAAAAAAAAAAGAAUCUUGCUCUGUCGCCCAGGCUGGAAUGCAGUGGCACAAUCUCGGCUCACUGCAGCCUCUGCCUCCUGGGUUCAAGCGACUCUUCUGCCUCAG
Molecule: small RNA, 258 nt
Filed under: Pongo abelii (Sumatran orangutan)
Lineage: Eukaryota; Metazoa; Chordata; Mammalia; Primates; Hominidae
Description: Metazoan signal recognition particle RNA (ENSPPYG00000039023.1)
Source: RNAcentral